UACGAAGGGUGCAAGCGUUAAUCGGAAUUACUGGGCGUAAAGCGCGCGUAGGUGGUUUGUUAAGUUGAAUGUGAAAGCCCCGGGCUCAACCUGGGAACUGCAUCCAAAACUGGCAAGCUAGAGUAUGGCAGAGGGUGGUGGAAUUUCCUGUGUAGCGGUGAAAUGCGUAGAUAUAGGAAGGAACACCAGUGGCGAAGGCGACCACCUGGACUGAUACUGACACUGAGGUGCGAAAGCGUGGGGAGCAAACAGG
Molecule: ribosomal RNA, 253 nt
Filed under: uncultured bacterium
Lineage: Bacteria
Description: partial 16S ribosomal RNA
Rfam family: Bacterial small subunit ribosomal RNA
Source: RNAcentral